Molecule: long non-coding RNA, 4175 nt
Organism: Macaca fascicularis (crab-eating macaque)
Lineage: Eukaryota; Metazoa; Chordata; Mammalia; Primates; Cercopithecidae
Source: Ensembl
AAAAAAAAAAAAAAAGUUUAUUUGAAAAUUUUAUUUUUUAAUGGACACAUUGUAAAGGCACAUAUUUAUGGGCACGAUUUGAUGUUCAGAUAAAUAUAUGUUGUUGUCUUAAUUUAAUUUAGGAGAGCUAAAUAAUUAAACAGGCCAAAGUACAUAAGAAAGCAGCAGCCUUUUAUUGCAAAUAUGCACACACUCUUGGGGUAGGUUCUCCAGUCCUCAGGUAUGGGGCCAGGGAAGCCCACCGGCCUCUGCCGGGGAACUUUUAUGCAUUGGUACUGGAAGGGGGAGGGCAGUGGGCGGGAUAAGGGCGGGAUAGGGGCGUCUCAGUAGGCGUGGCCGGGUAAGUUUGAUUUCUUCUGAUUGAGGUCACCUGGCCGAAGCUCCGUUGCCCUGCACUUUCCCGGCGCGGGAAAGUUGGUGAUGAACAACACGGAAGCAAUCGGGACUGUGCCAUGUUGUUCACCUUCCUCCAUUUUGGUCCCUUCUCCCUCACCCAAACAGUCUAACCUCUUAUUAAUUGUAGGAAUUUGGGGCGCCAUUGUCAGUCUGGCUGUUUCCUGCUGUUAAGGGGCGUAGUUAGGGUCUGAGGUUGGCAGUUGGGUGUAGGGAUGCAGGAGCAUUUGGUUGAAGGUGACUGGGUGAUUUCUUGGACCCUAGCUCGGAGAAAUUUUAUUAGAAUGGGAGCAAAGCAUAAUAUAAGACAGAGGAUUAGUAUGGGAAUUAGGAAUGGAAGCAUCUGCUGUACUACAGGCAGCAGCGAUACCAACAAUUUAAGGGGGCAUUAAAUUGUUGAAGCUCCUUUUUGAUUUUGUUUAAUGUUUGGACCUUGGUGUCAACCAGGCCUAAUCCAUUUAUGUAGUAGCAACACUCCUCUCCUAGGGAGAGGCAUGCUCCUCCUUUUUCAGCAGUAAGAAGAUCUAAUGCCCGCCUAUUUUGUGCUGCUACCUGGGCUACUGAGGUGAUUUGACCUUGUAAAGAGGCUAGGCUUUCAGCUGAAGCCUCUAUGGCUGCUUGGACCUGAGUGGAGAGGGUCUGUGUGGAUUGAAUCGAGUGGGUAAGGGCCCCUGUUCCAAGUCCUGAGGCUACUAGGGACGAUGCUAGGGAAACCCCGAUAACUAAGGGAAGAAAAAUGGCCCGUUUUUGGAUUUUAUUGCUGGAAGUGGUAAGCUGGGAAGCUAGCUCGGACAAUUCUCCUUCGCCAUAUAGGGUUAAAGUAGCCACCUCGCCCGGCCAACUCUUUUUCUAUUUGAUAUUCUUUUGGAGUUUGUACUUGUUUAACCUGCAUUUGAGGUUGUAAAGUUACAGGCAUCUGAGCUGCUGUAAGAGGAGUUGGCCAUCGUGGUUUAGACUCUGAUGGCUCUGCUAAUUCUGGACCUUUUUCUUCUAAUUUUAACGUUUCAGGAUAUGUUACCUCCUGUAAUUGAUUAUCGUCAACAUUUUGCGUUGACCGAGCCCUUACCAGCUCUGCUACACAUUUACAGUGUGAACUUUCUGUUCCUUUCCGGGAUUCUAUCCCUGCCUCUUUUUCACAAUCUACUGCACAGCUUUUAGGGACAUCAGAAAUUGGAAUGCUAUCUUCUUCUGUUUGAAAUGGUUCUAAAGCUACUUUAAUAAUGACCCAAUCAUUCCAUACUGUGAGCGGAAUGAUUUUACCUUCCCUACUUGCUUGUUUUAAUUCUUUGCCAAUUUUUUCCCAGUCUUUUAGAUCUAAAGUUCCCUGUUUCGGAAACCAUGGACAAAACUUUCUAUUGUUUGAAAUAGUGUAAUUAGAUUUUUGGUAGAGACUUUAACUCCCCCUCUUUUUAAAAGAAUUUUAAUAAAGCUGCGAUAAGAGGCAUAUUUACUUUUAGUUUGCCCCAUUGUUACCCUAGGUUCUUCCAAGUGCACAAGCUUACCACAAGGCUGACUGUAGACGUACUCGGGGGUCUCUCGUCGACUUGUCCUCAGUGACCACGCUCCAGCGUACCUUCACCUUAGAGAAAAGCUCCCACUUUGGGCACCAGAUGAAGGGGUGGCCUGCCCCUCCACACCUGUGGGCGUUUCUCAUUCGGUGGAAUGAGAGACUUGAGAAAAGAAAUGAGACACAGAGACAAAGUAUAGAGAAAGAAAAAGUGGGCCCAGGGGACCUGCGCUCAGCUUACAGAGGACCCACGCUGGCCCCGGUCUCUGAGUUCCCUUAGUAUUUAUUGAUAAUUAUCUUUACCAUCUUAAAGAUAAGGGAGUGGCAGGACAAUAGGAUCAUCGAAGGGAGAAAAUUAGCAGUAAGACAUAUGGACAAAGAUCUCUGUGACAUAAAUAAGUUCAAAGGAAAAUGCUGUGCCUUGAUAUGCAUAUGUAAACAUCUCCACAAACCUCUUAGCAGCAUUGCUCCAGCAAGUCCUGCCAGCAAGUCCCACCUUAUGCCAUAAGGCGGUUUUCUCCUAUCUCAGUAAACAGAGCAUACAAUUGGGUCUCACACAGAGAUGUUCCAUUACCCAGGACGGGCAGGAUUUUUAACCAGCAAGCUGCCUUCAGGCAGUUGUUUAACAAAGACACAUCCUGCACAGCCCAAAAUCCAUUAAACCAUGAGUCACCACAGCACAUGUCUCUUGCAAGGACAAGGUUGGGGGUAGGGUCACAGAUUAACAGCAUCUCAAAUACGGAACAAAAUGGAGUCUCUUAUGUCUACUUCUUUCUAUAUAGACACAGUAAGGGGCUGAUCUCUUUUUCUUUUCCCCACAACCGGGUAUGUUGGGAUUACUGCCUCAUUAAUGAUAUGUAAGUCCUGAACUAAUCUGUAUGCCCCUGAAGGUUUUUUGACAGGGAGGAUGGGAGUGUUACAAGGAGAAUGGGUGGGAAUUAAAAUUUGUUGUUGGAGUAGACGAUCUAUGAUGGGUUUGAUUCCUUGUCGGUGAUGCAAUGAGAGAGAGAACUGGGGGCGAGACGGAAAGUGGGUAGGGUCUUUUAAGCGAAUGAGGACUGGCUUAUGGUGUUGGGUGACUACCGGGGCAGAGGUGUCCCAUACCUGUGGGUCAACCAACACUGGAAACGUUGGGGAGGGGAGUUUAGGACCUUGGUUAUGGGGGCACAAAGGCGCUAUGAGGGUGAUGUUAGAGCCAGGGUGAGGACGAAAGGGAAUGGAAAUAGAUGCCUUGAGUUUGGUUAAGAUGUCUGGUCCUAAGAGUGGGGUGGGACAGGAGGGCAUGAUGAGGAAAGAGUGGGCAAAGCAUGCAUAGUCCAGGCAGCAAUUUAACAUUGGGGUCUGGCGAGGGUUAGACAGCUUACUGUCUACCCCAACUACUGAGAUAGUGGAUGGCUGGCUAGGACCUCCAUAGGUUGACAAAACAGAAUAGGUAGCCUCUGUAUUGAUGAGAAAAGAAAUUGGCUUACCCGCUAUCUGUAGAGUUACCCUAGGCUCGGCGAGGGUGACUGGGGUCUCCGAGUGUGGGCACCGUCAGUCGUCAUCCAGGUGUAGGAGCUGGAAGGAGCCUUCCGGCCCUUGAGGAGAGGCACCACGUUGAGGUGCAAUGCCUGCCCUGCUGGUGGGGCAAUCAGACUUCCAGUGUCCUUCCUGUUGGCAGGUUGGGCACGGCGUGGUAGGCGGGUGAGGAUUUGGACACUGUUUUGCCCAAUGCCCAGUUGUGCCACACUUAAAGCAUGGACCAGAUGGACUGGCCAGCUUGGCCUGGGGACACUGGUUUGCCCAGCAUCCUGGGUCUCCACAUUUAUAGCAGGAGCCCUUAAAAGACUUAUCUUUGGUUUUCCCUGCCAGCAAAGUGGGCAACGCAGGUUGGAGGGCAGCCACUAAAGCUUGUGCUUGGAGGGCGGCCUUCUGUUUUACCCUGGUUUGUCGAAGAGCUUCCGCUGCUUCUUCCCUAGAGUUAAAAACUUUGAAAGCCAGCUUCGGCCGGGCGCGGUGGCUCAAGCCUGUAAUCCCAGCACUUUGGGAGGCCGAGACGGGCGGAUCACUAGGUCAGGAGAUCGAGACCAUCCUGGCGAACACGGUGAAACCCGUCUCUACUAAAAAUACAAAAAACUAGCCGGGCGAGGGCGGGCUCUGUAGUCCCAGCUACUCGGGAGGCUGAGGCAGGAGAAUGGCGUAAACCCGGGGGGCGGAGCUUGCAGUGAGCUGAGAUCCAGCCACUGCACUCCAGCCCUGGUGACAGAGCCAGACUCCGUCUCAAAAAAAAAAAAAA